Microtus ochrogaster (prairie vole) is the source of this 2225-nucleotide long non-coding RNA. RefSeq lists it as uncharacterized. Lineage: Eukaryota; Metazoa; Chordata; Mammalia; Rodentia; Cricetidae. The record is from RefSeq and is a predicted model, not a curated record.
GAAGUUAGCUCUGAACUCUGAAUUGAAACAAACCCAGUAACUCUUUGUGGGAGAGGACACGGAGAUGCGCUCUCUGACGUGGUUGUGCAGGUUACCUUAUCCCAGGCUCACCUUCCCCUAGUCACUGCCAGCGGAAGGCAGAGAAGAGAAAGGCUGAUGCUCGCUGUUUGUGCAGAGGAAACAAUGACGCGAGUUCCCUGGACACCGAGAAGAGCGAGGACUAGAGUCAGACUUCUAGUCUGUGUCCCCUGCGAGGAUUUGAAGGUGGAGAUCUCCUGAACUUACCCGGGUGUGGAGAAAGACACAGUAAAAAGCUUUGAAGCAAGGUUCUUUUCCUUGGCUACCUCCUGGGGCUGCUCAGAAAGCCCUCAAGUGACCAGAAAGGCUGAACUUCAGAACCCUCUGAAGUAGCAACAACAUAAACAGAUGGAGUCCCAUGUAGCCCCAGCUAGCCUUAAACACUUUAUCCUUCUGCCUUCAUCUCCCAAGUGUUGGGCUUAUAGUUUUGAGUUCCCGAUUGACCAGAAAAUUGACAAGUACUGCCCAGAUUGGAUCAGUGGACAGGAAGGAACCAGAGAAAUGACUGGGUUUCAUGACUACUUUGGACUCUGUCACUGGAAAGGACAAUUGUCAUGAUUUACUCCUCCCGAAGACAUGCCUGGCUAGGAUGGCUUCCUAUCCACGAGCCAGGAUGGAAGAGAAGCAACUAAGAGGUUUGAGAAGCGACCCACAUUUUCCCACGUGUGCUCACAUUGCAGCAGCCUUGCAGGUACUGCCCUUUCUAGGCAGGUUGCAGUUAGUUCCUUCAAAUAUACACUAGCAGCGGAAGAUUUCCUAUCCUGCCACCAAACCCAUGUUCACCCAAAAAAAAACUGCCACUUCCCAAUCUUGAAGGUCCUAGGAACAUAGAGCACAUAGGUAAUAUACGCUAUCUUGACACUUGAAAUGUAUUUUUCUUCUUAAGAAGUAAAAACGCAUUUCAUACUUGGUUAACUAAUGACAAACAUUUGUUCUGAACAUCCUGUAAGUUGUUAUUCAGAGUACAAUACUUAGAGGUUUUAUGAGUCACAGGCCAGGUGUGGCCUUUCCACGCUCAACAAUCAGUAAUGAAUUCUUAGGUAGUUUAGUUUUCCAAAUAACCACGUGUGGCUGACUUAUUUUAAAAAGAGUCUUGGGAAGAGUCUUGCACCAGAGGAUCUGUUAUAAUAUAAUAUUUUUUAUAAAGCUUACUUACUUUAUCACGAGACCCUUCUGAGAAGAGAACUAAGAAUGCUUAAGUCUUGACUUGAAAGGAGUGGCGAGUCUAUGCGUGAGCUUUUCACUCAUUACCCUUGACUUUGAGGCCAAAGGUCAGUCCUGUUGUUGGCGUUGAGUUCUCCAGGUGUAGGCCUGGAGGGAAAGGCAACAGUUUGGAGUACCAUUUACUAAGCAGGUAUAAUCACCUGAAGUGUUGACUCUGUGUCAUCCUGGAAUUGACAGCAGCUGGGAGGAAGCAAAUAGGUUGUACUAAUGCAGGCAGUGACAGCUUCCUCCCAUGUGACACUCUACAGCUACCUCACAGAGAGGUUUUAAAGCUCGCCUUUCUGGGGAACUAAUGAAAUGGUGUCACUAUGUAAGGAAAUGGGGACCCCGAGGGCAGAAGGAAGCCUUUAAAGGAGCUGAAGAUUCCACCUGGAAGCUGAGGUAACCCGGAACACAGAUGCCCAACAUCAUCAAAGUGCAUCCACAAUUGUGCAGAGGGAAGAUGGUUGGCCUCCCACUACUAGGCUAUCUAAUAAUUGCUUUCUGAGACAGGGAUCAUUUUAAUUCUUGCACUUAUUAUUUUGUUUCUCAAUUGAUUUAUUUAACCAGCAAUUAUUGACCACCUAAGCACUAUAGGCUCUAGAGGUGUGGAGAUGAGAGAAACACAUCCCCAAGGAACUCAUAGGCUGGCAAAUAGAAGAGCCACGGAAACAACAAGGCAAUGAGUCAAGAGCCAUGAGAAAGAGAUGAUGGUCUAACAAUGACCAAUGGCAAAAUCUGCAAUAAUAGUCAAUGGAUUUCAGAAUUUAAAGCAUGACAUGGAACCUAAUCUAUUGACUCCAAAAGUAACUGAACUAGAGACUACUACUUCAGGUGUAUAUCACUUUACUAAGUACAGGGAAAAAAAUAAAAUUCAUAUAGUAAAAGAAAAAUUUCCAGGCACAACUCUCUAGCCUGCUCCUUGCUUUUCAUGGUUGCCUCAU